This is a long non-coding RNA of Talpa occidentalis (Iberian mole), 237 nucleotides long. RefSeq lists it as uncharacterized. The record is from RefSeq and is a predicted model, not a curated record. Lineage: Eukaryota; Metazoa; Chordata; Mammalia; Eulipotyphla; Talpidae. The transcript has 3 exons.
AUGAAGUUUUCAAAUUGGGCUUCAGGACAAAAAUAUCAUCUUUCAACUGAAGACAAGCAACUUUAUUUGGAUAAUACAGUGUCUGACCUCUAGGCAGCUGCUUCUGCUUUGAGACGUGACAGACUGUGCAGUGAGUCUGUCUUCUCCAGUGACGAUGCCUGUGAUGUAUUAAGUAGAGGAACCAGCGCCUUUCUCCCAUGUCUGUGGUGAGAAGAGAAGGACCUGACACAGAGGAGU